This 253-nucleotide ribosomal RNA is filed under the name uncultured bacterium. Its description in RNAcentral is "partial 16S ribosomal RNA". It matches the Rfam family "Bacterial small subunit ribosomal RNA", at positions 524 to 776 of the family's 1533-position model. The record is from RNAcentral.
UACAGAGGUGGCAAGCGUUGUUCGGAUUUACUGGGCGUAAAGGGCGCGUAGGCGGCCUUGUCAGUCAGGCGUGAAAGCCCCGGGCUCAACCUGGGAACGGCGCUUGGGACGGCGAGGCUGGAGUUCGGGAGAGGAGAGUGGAAUUCCCAGUGUAGAGGUGAAAUUCGUAGAUAUUGGGAAGAACACCGGUGGCGAAGGCGGCUCUCUGGACCGACACUGACGCUGAGGCGCGAAAGCGUGGGGAGCAAACAGG